Molecule: ribosomal RNA, 497 nt
Filed under: uncultured bacterium
Lineage: Bacteria
Description: partial 16S ribosomal RNA
Rfam family: Bacterial small subunit ribosomal RNA
Source: RNAcentral
GAUGAACGCUGGCGGCGUGCCUAAUACAUGCAAGUCGAGCGAACAGACGAGGCGCUUGCUCCUCUGACGUUAGCGGCGGACGGGUGAGUAACACGUGGAUAACCUACCUAUAAGACUGGGAUAACUUCGGGAAACCGGAGCUAAUACCAGAUAAUAUAUUGAACCGCAUGGUUCAAUGGUGAAAUACGGCUUUGCUGUCACUUAUCGAUGGAUCCGCGCCGAAUUGGCUAGUUGGUAAGGUAACGGCUUACCACGGCGACGAUGCGUAAACGACCUGAGAGGGGGAUCGCCGACACGGGAAGUGAGACACGGUCCAGACUCCUACGGGAGGCAGCAGUAGGGAAUCUUAGGCAAUGGGGGAAGGCAUGACGGAGCAACGCCGCGUCAGUGAUGAAGGUCUUCGGUGCGUAAAACUCUGUUAUGAGGGAAGAACAAAUGUGUAAGUAACUAUGGACGUCGUGACGGUACCUAAUCAGAAAGCCACGGCUAACUACGUG